This 2244-nucleotide long non-coding RNA is filed under the name Lupinus angustifolius (narrow-leaved blue lupine). RNAcentral describes it as "long non-coding RNA (LANG_LNC000881)". The record is from RNAcentral. Lineage: Eukaryota; Viridiplantae; Streptophyta; Magnoliopsida; Fabales; Fabaceae.
CUUGUCUGUGUCCACGUCAUGCAUAAUUGCAUUAACGACAUCUUCACUGUCUGUCUCAACCUCACUAGAUAAGGCUUUACGCAACUCCUCGAUUUCAAUAUAACCACUUUGGUCCUCAUCAAAAUAUUGGAAAGCUCUGUGAAGGUGUUCGUCAUUUCCUAUCUUUCUCAGAUGAACGGAAAUGGCUACAAACUCUCCGUAAUCUAGGUACCCAUCAUUAUCUACAUCCCCCUGUAUAAGCAAACCCCAAAUAUUAGAAGUUGAAGGCAUAUAUGUUAAUUAGUAAAUAGCAUAUGACAACUUUUACUAUGAAGCAUUCUUGUAAAACUGAGGAAAUGCCAUUUUUUUUCAUUUGAAGAAGGGAGAAACACCGGGACAAACGAGAAUUCCUGGAGUUAUACCAAUUAUUAAACAUGCCCAAGUUUGCUUUUACUUUGACAUAUUCAAAGACAAUAUGCUGGAAAAACUAAAGACUCUCAAAAUUUGAUAAAGGUAUUUCAACCUAUCAUUUGUGGAGCAAAGAUUCAAGAUAAAGGGUAAUAAUAAUACUCACAGCUUCCAUAAGAAUUUUGAUAUCUUCAUCUGAAACUUGAUGGCCGAGUUUAUGCAACCCUACUCGAAGUUCAUCCAUGUUAAUCUUGCCUCUGUUGCCUGUAUCCAUAACCUGGAAUCCUUCUUUUAUUCCAGCAGCUUCUUCAACUGACAAAUGUUCGGCAAUCACCUGUUCACAUUAAACAAUAACCAUUAAAAAAUAAUUACCCAUGAAUUAGAAUGGUUGUAUUGAUGAAUAUUUCACAAGCGAAUCUUCAAGGGAUAUUCAAAUGUUGUUAAGAACAUUACCCUUAAAGCUCUUUUCUUAAGCUUGUUCAUUACAGAAAAUUGCUUCAGCCUUGCUUUAACAGUUUCUCCUAAUGAAACAUUAGGAGCUUUCUUUGCAUUUUGUAUCCAUGGAUGCUCUGCAUAUCAUUAACAAGUUAUGUUAUCAUCCCCACAUUUCAAUAGUCCAAAAUUUGAAGAAUAAACAAAAGAUAGUUUUCUGAGCAGAAAAUGUUCCAGACAGUUUAAACUUUGUUCAUCAGUCGAAAGCAUUCUAUAUGAAGUAGAUUUUACCUAACACUUCAUGUGCAGUAAGCCGCCGCUUUGGAUCAGGAUCGAAUUUAAGGCUGAGACUGUUAAACCUUUCACGUGAAUAUUGCCUUGAUGCUUUUCUCCAAUCUGUGCCAGCCUUCAUCAUUGUAGCAAAUUCGUCAUAACUUAUUUUACCAUCCUGCAAUUUCGUAGAGAUAAGGUUAACUGUGAUUCCGAAUAAAACUGUAGAUAAUGAAUGAUUAAUGUCAACUUCUUUAUUUACUAAAACCAGUUGGAGCAAUUCGACUUAACUCGGCGAGGGUUGUCAAAGUCAUUACAUAUUAUUAUUUGCUCAUAUACUUGACCGGACAUGCCCUUCACACUCGGACAUUAGGAGUGUGAAGUUUGUCGAGUUGAACAUGGUGUUCCAACAUCAUGAAAUGAUUUGAUGUAAGAUUCUUUACACAUAUGCUUAACUUCUGUGAGACUUUAAACACUUAACAAAACCCAAACUUAAAUCACUAUGUAGCACUAUAUAGGUGCAAAAAUACUAUAUGAGAAGACUCACAACGGUUAAAGAAUGCAAAAAUGGUAACAAGUAUAAAAUAUUUCUUCCAUAAAAAAGAACAUUGAGGAACAUGUAGAAAAUUAAGAAUCAACGCAAAAAACAAAAAAGAAAAUUGAUCUAGAAGGUGAAAAUAUACGGACCUUGUCUGUGUCCACGUCAUGCAUAAUUGCAUUAACGACAUCUUCACUGUCUGUCUCAACCUCACUAGAUAAGGCUUUACGCAACUCCUCGAUUUCAAUAUAACCACUUUGGUCCUCAUCAAAAUAUUGGAAAGCUCUGUGAAGGUGUUCGUCAUUUCCUAUCUUUCUCAGAUGAACGGAAAUGGCUACAAACUCUCCGUAAUCUAGGUACCCAUCAUUAUCUACAUCCCCCUGUAUAAGCAAACCCCAAAUAUUAGAAGUUGAAGGCAUAUAUGUUAAUUAGUAAAUAGCAUAUGACAACUUUUACUAUGAAGCAUUCUUGUAAAACUGAGGAAAUGCCAUUUUUUUUCAUUUGAAGAAGGGAGAAACACCGGGACAAACGAGAAUUCCUGGAGUUAUACCAAUUAUUAAACAUGCCCAAGUUUGCUUUUACUUUGACAUAUUCAAAGACAAUAUGCUGGAAAAACU